GAAAAUUAAAACGUAAUGUCCUAGAAAUUGUAUAUAAAACUCAGCAAAUUGUAGAUAUGUGAUAUAGCAAGUCUUUACAAAGUAGAGACACAAUGUAUCAUAAACUUGUGUUGUAAGAGGCCAUGUGACCUUCUGCUUGUUUUUAUCCUGCCUUUCUUGUACAAGCAAUGAGGUUGUGAAUCAUUUACACAAGUGUGAAAGGUAGGUGUGAAGCAUUUACACAAGUGUGAAAGUUAGGGUGUAAAGCAUUUACACAAGUGUGAAAGGUUAGAUGUAAAUCAUUUAUACAAAAUAGUAUGAUUGAAGUAAAUUAUUUACACA
This 321-nucleotide long non-coding RNA is filed under the name Mytilus galloprovincialis (Mediterranean mussel). Lineage: Eukaryota; Metazoa; Mollusca; Bivalvia; Mytilida; Mytilidae. The record is from RNAcentral.